AGAGUUUGAUCCUGGUUCAGGAUGAACGCUAGCUACAGGCUUAACACAUGCAAGUCGAGGGGCAGCGGGAUUGAAGCUUGCUUCAAUUGCCGGCGACCGGCGCACGGGUGAGUAACGCGUAUCCAACCUUCCGUACACUCAGGGAUAGCCUUUCGAAAGAAAGAUUAAUACCUGAUGGUAUGAUGAGAUUGCAUGGUAUCAUCAUUAAAGAUUUAUCGGUGUACGAUGGGGAUGCGUUCCAUUAGGUAGUAGGCGGGGUAACGGCCCACCUAGCCAACGAUGGAUAGGGGUUCUGAGAGGAAGGUCCCCCACAUUGGAACUGAGACACGGUCCAAACUCCUACGGGAGGCAGCAGUGAGGAAUAUUGGUCAAUGGACGAGAGUCUGAACCAGCCAAGUAGCGUGAAGGAUGAAGGUCCUACGGAUUGUAAACUUCUUUUAUAAGGGAAUAAACCCUCCCACGUGUGGGAGCUUGUAUGUACCUUAUGAAUAAGCAUCGGCUAACUCCGUGCCAGCAGCCGCGGUAAUACGGAGGAUGCGAGCGUUAUCCGGAUUUAUUGGGUUUAAAGGGAGCGCAGACGGGUCGUUAAGUCAGCUGUGAAAGUUUGGGGCUCAACCUUAAAAUUGCAGUUGAUACUGGCGUCCUUGAGUGCGGUUGAGGUGUGCGGAAUUCGUGGUGUAGCGGUGAAAUGCUUAGAUAUCACGAAGAACUCCGAUUGCGAAGGCAGCCUGCUAAGCUGCAACUGACAUUGAGGCUCAAAAGUGUGGGUAUCAAACAGGAUUAGAUACCCUGGUAGUCCACACGGUAAACGAUGAAUACUCGCUGUUUGCGAUAUACGGCAAGCGGCCAAGCGAAAGCGUUAAGUAUUCCACCUGGGGAGUACGCCAGCAACGGUGAAACUCAAAUGAAUUGACGGAAGGGCG
RNAcentral lists this ribosomal RNA (923 nucleotides) under uncultured bacterium. RNAcentral's name for it is "bacterial SSU rRNA". It matches the Rfam family "Bacterial small subunit ribosomal RNA", at positions 8 to 923 of the family's 1533-position model. The record is from RNAcentral.